UCCCUGGUAGUCCAGUAGUUAAGACUCCAUGCUUCCACCACAGAGGGCACAGGUUCGAUCCUUGUCUGGGGAA
RNAcentral lists this transfer RNA (73 nucleotides) under Ovis aries (sheep). It matches the Rfam family "tRNA". Rfam says of the family: Transfer RNA (tRNA) molecules are approximately 80 nucleotides in length. Their secondary structure includes four short double-helical elements and three loops (D, anti-codon, and T loops). Lineage: Eukaryota; Metazoa; Chordata; Mammalia; Artiodactyla; Bovidae. The record is from Rfam by way of RNAcentral.